CCUGGGGUCCAGAAAAUAGAGUCCAGCAGGAGAGAAGAAAUCUCCAGGAUGUGGAUAAAGAGAAAUACCAUUGGCCAGCUGAGCAGCAGAUGGGAUUUUCCAAAAGGAGCAGAAAGUCAGUAGGAGAAAAGUUGGAGCUGUACAUCCUCAAUGAGUUGCUACUUCUGUUAUACACAGAAAAUUAAAAGUUGAAUGAAACCCGCAACUAAGAAAUACCAAGUUCAACUAAAUUAAUAAAAUGUGGUAAGUGGCUAUGAUUCAUGUAGUUGAGCUUCACCAUUGAUCUGUAGGGAAUAAAGAGGCAGCUGAGUUAUCAAAAUGAACAAAAGCAGUUGCUAAAGUUGGCAGUAAAUGAG
This 356-nucleotide long non-coding RNA is filed under the name Homo sapiens (human). RNAcentral describes it as "LNC_001000". The record is from RNAcentral. Lineage: Eukaryota; Metazoa; Chordata; Mammalia; Primates; Hominidae.